ACCGCGUGAGCGAGAAGGCCUUCGGGUCGUAAAGCUCUGUUGUUAGGGAAGAACAAGUAUCGGAGUAACGGCCGGUACCUUGACGGUACCUAACCAGAAAGCCACGGCUAACUACGUGCCAGCAGCCGCGGUAAUACGUAGGUGGCAAGCGUUGUCCGGAAUUAUUGGGCGUAAAGCGCGCGCAGGCGGUCCUUUAAGUCUGAUGUGAAAGCCCACGGCUCAACCGUGGAGGGUCAUUGGAAACUGGGGGACUUGAGUAGCAGAAGAGGAGAGUGGAAUUCCACGUGUAGCGGUGAAAUGCGUAGAGAUGUGGAGGAACACCAGUGGCGAAGGCGACUCUCUGGUCUGUAACUGACGCUGAGGCGCGAAAGCGUGGGGAGCAAACAGGAUUAGAUACCCUGGUAGUCCACGCCGUAAACGAUGAGUGCUAAGUGUUAGAGGGUUUCCGCCCUUUAGUGCUGCAGCUAACGCAUUAAGCACUCCGCCUGGGGAGUACGGCCGCAAGGCUG
This 509-nucleotide ribosomal RNA is filed under the name uncultured Bacillota bacterium. RNAcentral's name for it is "bacterial SSU rRNA". It matches the Rfam family "Bacterial small subunit ribosomal RNA", at positions 396 to 896 of the family's 1533-position model. The record is from RNAcentral. Lineage: Bacteria; Bacillati; Bacillota.